GACGAACGCUGGCGGCGUGCUUAACACAUGCAAGUCGAACGGAAAGGCCCUGCUUUUGUGGGGUGCUCGAGUGGCGAACGGGUGAGUAACACGUGAGUAACCUGCCCUUGACUUUGGGAUAACUUCAGGAAACUGGGGCUAAUACCGGAUAGGAGCUCCUGCUGCAUGGUGGGGGUUGGAAAGUUUCGGCGGUUGGGGAUGGACUCGCGGCCUAUCAGCUUGUUGGUGGGGUAGUGGCUUACCAAGGCUUUGACGGGUAGCCGGCCUGAGAGGGUGACCGGCCACAUUGGGACUGAGAUACGGCCCAGACUCCUACGGGAGGCAGCAGUGGGGAAUAUUGCACAAUGGGCGGAAGCCUGAUGCAGCAACGCCGCGGGCGGGAUGACGGCCUUCGGGUUGUAAACCGCUUUCGCCUGUGACGAAGCGUGAGUGACGGUAAUGGGUAAAGAAGCACCGGCUAACUACGUG
Molecule: ribosomal RNA, 468 nt
Filed under: uncultured bacterium
Lineage: Bacteria
Description: partial 16S ribosomal RNA
Rfam family: Bacterial small subunit ribosomal RNA
Source: RNAcentral